Molecule: ribosomal RNA, 400 nt
Filed under: uncultured bacterium
Lineage: Bacteria
Description: bacterial SSU rRNA
Rfam family: Bacterial small subunit ribosomal RNA
Source: RNAcentral
UGAGGGAUAUUGGUCAAUGGGCGCAAGCCUGAACCAGCGACGCCGCGUGGGUGAAGAAGGUCUUCGGAUCGUAAAGCCCUUUUCCCACUGAAGAGGAAGGACGGUAGGUGGGGAAGAAGUCUCGGCUAACUACGUGCCAGCAGCCGCGGUAAAACGUAGGAGACAAGCGUUAUCCGGAGUUACUGGGCGUAAAGGGCGUGCAGGUGGCGUCUUAAGUCUGUUGUGAAAGCGCCUGGCUUAACCGGGCGAGGCAAAUGGAGACUGAGAGGCUGGAGGACGGCGGAGGGGUGUGGAAUUCCGGGUGUAGUGGUGAAAUGCGUAGAGAUCCGGAGGAACACCAGAGGCGAAGGCGGCACUCUAAGCCGUACCUGACACUGAGACGCGACAGCACGGGGAGCAA